GCGAGAGUGGCGGAAUUGGUAGACGCACUAGACUUAGGAUCUAGCGGCCUAGCCGUGGGAGUUCGAGUCUCCCCUUUCGCACCA
RNAcentral lists this transfer RNA (84 nucleotides) under Desulfovibrio psychrotolerans. RNAcentral's name for it is "tRNA-Leu". It matches the Rfam family "tRNA". Rfam says of the family: Transfer RNA (tRNA) molecules are approximately 80 nucleotides in length. Their secondary structure includes four short double-helical elements and three loops (D, anti-codon, and T loops). The record is from RNAcentral. Lineage: Bacteria; Pseudomonadati; Thermodesulfobacteriota; Desulfovibrionia; Desulfovibrionales; Desulfovibrionaceae.